Molecule: small RNA, 576 nt
Filed under: Pongo abelii (Sumatran orangutan)
Lineage: Eukaryota; Metazoa; Chordata; Mammalia; Primates; Hominidae
Description: retained intron
Source: RNAcentral
AGUCCCAGCUACUCAGGAGACUGAGGUGGGAGGAUCACUUGAACCUGGGAACUCAAGGCCGCAGUGAGCUGUGAUCAUGCCACUGCACUCCACUGCACUCCAGCUUGGAUAACAGAGUGAGACCCUGUCUCCAAAAAAAAAAAAAAAAAAAGAAAAAGAAAACAAGUCAUGGAGCUAGUAAGUGCCCAAGAGAAUAAGAAUAAACCUAGAUCCAUGGGACUCCAAGCCUGUGUGCACUGCAUGCUUGCUUUUUCCACCAAACCACGUUAACACAAGUUCCUCCUUCCACGAGACCCCAGCGGCAAGGGGCACCUGAGAAGCCCUCAUGGCACCCUCCCAAGUUGUUUCCAUGGCUACUACAGUAAGAAAGUGUUGCUGGGGGAAGGUCAGCUCUCUGGCCCACGCCUUCCACCUGUUUCUGCUGUGUUCUUUCCUCAGGGAUCCCAACGGCUUCAAUGACUGGACCUUCUCCACCGUGCGAUGCUGGGGGGAGAGAGCCCGAGGGACCUACAGGCUUGUCAUCAGGGAUGUCGGAUAGCAACAAAAAGUCCUUGUCGAAACCACAUUUCAAGUCCU